GAGACGCUGGCGGCGUGCCUAACACAUGCAAGUCGAGCGGGGUUGAGGCGAGAGGUAACUCGAACUUCUACCUAGCGGCGGACGGGUGAGUAACGCGUGGGCAACCUGCCUCAAGGUUUGGGAUAACAGCCCGAAAGGGCUGCUAAUACCGGAUAUGCCUAUGGCCUCGCAUGGGGCUAUGAGCAAAGGGGAAACCCGCCUUGAGAUGGGCCCGCGUCCCAUCAGCUAGUUGGUGAGGUAACAGCUCACCAAGGCGACGACGGGUAGCCGGCCUGAGAGGGUGACCGGCCACACUGGGACUGAGACACGGCCCAGACUCCUACGGGGGGCAGCAGUGGGGGAUCUUGCACAAUGGGCGAAAGCCUGAUGCAGCGACGCCGCGUGAGCGAAGAAGGCCUUCGGGUUGUAAAGCUCUGUCUGGAGGGACGAACAAAAUGACGGUACCUCCGGAGGAAGCCACGGCUAACUACGUG
RNAcentral lists this ribosomal RNA (473 nucleotides) under uncultured bacterium. RNAcentral's name for it is "bacterial SSU rRNA". It matches the Rfam family "Bacterial small subunit ribosomal RNA", at positions 33 to 507 of the family's 1533-position model. The record is from RNAcentral.